RNAcentral lists this small RNA (102 nucleotides) under Arabidopsis thaliana (thale cress). Its description in RNAcentral is "ATSL266470". The record is from RNAcentral. Lineage: Eukaryota; Viridiplantae; Streptophyta; Magnoliopsida; Brassicales; Brassicaceae.
GGAUGAUCUUUACUUCGAGCCCUACGAGCGCCACGUUUGCUUCUGCAACCUGUAAUUCGAGAUUUUUCCAAGUUAUUCAGAUUCCGCAUUUGAUUUCAUCUU